This 198-nucleotide ribosomal RNA is filed under the name uncultured bacterium. RNAcentral describes it as "partial 16S ribosomal RNA". It matches the Rfam family "Bacterial small subunit ribosomal RNA", at positions 328 to 539 of the family's 1533-position model. The record is from RNAcentral.
ACGCUCGACACCUACGGGGGCAGCAGUGGGGAAUAUUGCACAAUGGGGGAAACCCUGAUGCAGCGACGCCGCGUGGAGGAAGAAGGUCUUCGGAUUGUAAACUCCUGUUGUUGGGGAAAAAGAAGGAUGGUACCCAACAAGGAAGUGACGGCUAACUACGUGCCAACAGCCGCGGUAAUCUGAGCGGGCUGGCAAGGC